CCUACGGGAGGCAGCAGUGAGGAAUAUUGGUCAAUGGUCGGGAGACUGAACCAGCCAAGCCGCGUGAGGGAUGAAGGUACAGAGUAUCGUAAACCUCUUUUGUCAGGGAACAAAGGCGGGGACGUGUCCCCGGAUGAGUGUACCUGAAGAAAAAGCAUCGGCUAACUCCGUGCCAGCAGCCGCGGUAAUAGGGAGGAUGCGAGCGUUAUCCGGAUUUAUGGGGUUUAAAGGGUGCGCAGGCGGUCUGUUAAGUCAGCGGUCAAAGCCCGGGGCUCAACCCCGGCCCGCCGUUGAAACUGGCAGUCUCGAGUUGGAGAGAAGUAUGCGGAAUGCGCGGUGUAGCGGUGAAAUGCAUAGAUAUCGCGCAGAACUCCGAUUGCGAAGGCAGCAUGCCGGCUCCACACUGACGCUGAGGCACGAAAGCGUGGGUAUCGAACAGGAUUAGAUACCCGGGUAGUC
This 459-nucleotide ribosomal RNA is filed under the name uncultured bacterium. RNAcentral's name for it is "partial 16S ribosomal RNA". It matches the Rfam family "Bacterial small subunit ribosomal RNA", at positions 338 to 795 of the family's 1533-position model. The record is from RNAcentral.